Caerostris darwini is the source of this 89-nucleotide non-coding RNA. Lineage: Eukaryota; Metazoa; Arthropoda; Arachnida; Araneae; Araneidae. The record is from the annotation of a GenBank genome assembly.
UCCGGUUCUCGUUAGAUCACCGAAGUUAAGCAUCAUUGGGCGCGGUCAGUACUUGGGUGGGUGACCACCUGGGAACACCACGUGCCGUU